RNAcentral lists this ribosomal RNA (116 nucleotides) under Bacillus spizizenii. The record is from RNAcentral. Lineage: Bacteria; Bacillati; Bacillota; Bacilli; Caryophanales; Bacillaceae.
UUUGGUGGCGAUAGCGAAGAGGUCUCACCCGUUCCCAUGCCGAACACGGAAGUUAAGCUCUUCAGCGCCGAUGGUAGUCGGGGGUUUCCCCCUGUGAGAGUAGGACGCCGCCAAGC